Molecule: ribosomal RNA, 440 nt
Filed under: uncultured bacterium
Lineage: Bacteria
Description: partial 16S ribosomal RNA
Rfam family: Bacterial small subunit ribosomal RNA
Source: RNAcentral
CCUACGGGGGACAGCAGUGAGGAAUAUUGGGCAAUGGAGGCAACUCUGACCCAGCCAUGCCGCGUGAGUGAAGAAGGUUUUCGGAUUGUAAAGCUCUUUCGGAUGUGACGAUGAUGACGGUAGCCUCUCAAGAAGCCCCGGCUAACUUCGGGCCAGCAGCCGCGGUAAUACGAAGGGGGCAAGCGUUGUUCGGAAUUACUGGGCGUAAAGGGAGUGUAGGCGGGUUAGUAAGAUAGUAGUGAAAUCCCAGAGCUUAACUUUGGAAUUGCCAUUAUAACUAUUAGACUAGAAUUACAGAGAGGAUAGUGGAAUACCCAGUGUAGAGGUGAAAUUCGUAGAUAUUGGGUAGAACACCAGUGGCGAAGGCGACUAUCUGGCUGUACAUUGACGCUGAGGCUCGAAAGCAUGGGGAGCAAACAGGAUUAGAUACCCGAGUAGUC